This 3306-nucleotide long non-coding RNA is filed under the name Nicotiana tabacum (common tobacco). Its description in RNAcentral is "long non-coding RNA (NTAB_LNC010822)". Lineage: Eukaryota; Viridiplantae; Streptophyta; Magnoliopsida; Solanales; Solanaceae. The record is from RNAcentral.
AAGAAUAAAAACUCUCACCUGACUGGAGCACAAGGGGGACGCUACCCGUAUUUGAUUUUCUUCUUCUCUAAGCAUUUGAGGAAGGAUCUGGAACUGUUUAAAAGGGAGGGGUACGCUUUCUGUUUCUUCUUCAAAAAAAAAUCGGCCAUACACACACUGAAGACAGAAUACGAGAUCUGAAAGAAGAGCACAAAAAAAAAGAGAUCGUUUAAAAAAAAGAGCAAAAAUCUUCAUCUUCUUCAUUAGGAAAAUCCACCAUCAAAGCUCCAUAGCCAUGGCAACAACUUAACCCACCGUACAACACAGUAACGCCACCUUAGCUCCUCCUUAAACCACUGGCUGAAACUGACCCAAACACUAGAAUAAAAGAGCUUUAGUCAAGGUUUAAAGUUCCAUUCGAUAUUUUCGGCACGAGUCUCGGUCAUGGUUUGUUUGUACGAGAGCUUAGCAGUCCUUUAUUCUUUAUGUAUUGUAGAUUAUAUUUGAGCUAUUUAAAAGGUCCGUUCCUUUCCCUCUCUGCUUUUUGUUGUUGAUGAGAAAUGAAUCAAACCUAAGACUAAAUUGUUUGUCAUUCAAGUUAAAAGGCUAGCUCGUUCAUAAGAAAUUAGCGUGUUUAUCGGUUUUGUGGGUGAAUUCAUUGAUUGUGCUUGAUCUUUAUGUGUAUCAUGUCUUAAUUGAGGUAUAUUACUCCUGAAAUGUGCCACUAUUUUUGGGUAAAAUAUUGAAGGAUUUUUGUGUGUAUAGAGAGUGAAAGCGAGACAAUUGCACAUAUAAGGCAAAUAGAAAUUUUAUAGCAUAUUGUGUCUUCGUGAUUGCUCAACGUUGGUGCCAGAAAUAAUUAGUACUAUAUAGAUUUCCAAAGCAGGUAAAUGAAUUAGAGUUAUUUGGAUAUGAUUAAUGGGUACCUAAUUUGCUUGGUUUGGUUUGUGCGACUAAGGAGGUGUUUUAGAAAGAUGAGGUGAUAUUGCAAGGCUUCUGUCAUAUUUUCAAUCCACUGAUUUUUGCCUUGGCUUGUUUUACUUUUAUUCGUCACUUUUCACUAUGUCAGUUCAUUUAGUUCAUGCCUUCUGGAUAACUACCAAUUAGGUGUUUAUUUGUUUAAUUUGUAUAUGUCUCUAUGUUUACAAUUUGAUCUUUUGAUUUAGCUUAAUUAGAUCGUGUUUACUACUGUUUACAUGUUUAUUUGAAUGGAAUGAUCAGGGAUUUUGGGAGUUAAUUGUUAAGAAGGCUAUGAGCAUGAAAUCUCUUUUAGCAAAAGUGCUCCAUAAUCACAAACCUUUCUCCUGUAACCUCAAAGUAGUUUAGAAAACAAUUCAUAAAUAUCAUAGCUUGCUUUAUGCGCGAUUAAUUAAAUAAUUAUCAUGGCUACGAGUACGGUUUUCAUGACGUAGUUGUGAUUUGUAAUUAUUAAAAUCCGGGGGUGCAUUUCAUGUGACCCGAUUCUAAUUUCCAACAAGGUUAAAUAGAACAUGUUGUGAACCGCGAGUGCAUUUCAUGUAGCGUGGCUUGCGAUAUGUUUUAAAUAACCUUGAAUUAAUUCUUUAAAUAACUAAAAGAGGCUAAAAGGUUAAAAAUACACAUAGGUUUAAAAGUGUUUUAAAAUCAGAUAAAUAGGCCAAUAAUAAUAGUUGAACGACCGUGCUAGAACCACGGAAUCCGGAAAUGCCUAACACCUUCUCCCGAGUUAACAGAAUUCCUUACCCGGAUUUUUGUGUUCGCGGACCGUAAAUAGAGUCAAAUUUUCUUGAUUCGGGAUUUUUAACUGGUGACUUGGGACACCAUAAAUUAUCCCAAGUGACGACUCUAAUUUUAAUAUAAAUAAUUCCAUUUUGAUUGUCAUUUAAAUUAGAAAAAACUCCCUUAUACCCUUUGGGGGUAGGAAAAAGGAGGUGUGACAGCUCUGACGACUCUGCUGGGGAUAAGAACCCAAAACUUCUGGUUUAGGGUUCAGAAUUCGAGCUUAGAAUAUAUGUUAUAGUUGGCUUUAUUUAUUAUCUGAUUUUUAUUACAUGUUUGGGCCUAAUGUGUUAAAUGUUGCUUUUGCCGCUUUGAUAUUGUUGAACUAUAUAUAAAUUAUUGUGAAACCCUCCUCUCUCUGAGUUUUCUAAAUCAUCUGGGAAGUGUACACUUCGUGUGACUUCUCUUCUAUUGGAUAAUUUGGCGAUCUUUCAGCCCAUGAGAUGCAGUAUGUGGCAAUCUUUCAGCCCAUGAGAUGCAGGAUGAGGUGAUCUUUCAGCCUAUGAGAUGUAGUAUGUGGCGAUCUUUCAGCCCAUGCGGAUGUAGUAUGAGGCGAUCUUUCAGCCAUGCAGAUACAAUAGGUGGUGAUCUUCAGCCAUGCAACAUAGUAGGUGGCGAUCUUUCAGCCAUGCAACGUAGUAGGUGGUGAUCUUUCGGCCAUGUAAAUGUAGAUGAGGUGACGAUCUUUCAGCCAUGCAACAUAGUAGGUGGCGAUUUUUUAGCUAUGCAAAUGUAGAUGAGGUGGCGAUCUUUCAGCCAUGCAAAUGUAGAUGAGGCAGCGAUCUUUUAGCCAUGCAAAUGUAGUAGGUGGCGAUCUUUCAGCCAUGCAGACGUAGAUGAUGCGGCGAUCUUUCAGCCAUGCAAUUGUAAUAGGUGGCGAUCUUUCAGCCAUGUAGAUGCAGAUGGAGGUAGAGCUUAACCUUGGAAGGCAGAAUGAUAGCCUUAUGCAAUGUAGAAAAUGCAGAUGGAGACAACAUUUAGUCUCGGAAGGCAGAAUGGUAGCCUUAUGCAAUGCAAAAAAUGCAGUUGGAGACAAUAUUUCGUCUCGGAAGGCAGAAUGGUAGCCUUAUGCAAUGCAGAAAAUACAGAUAGAGACAGCGUUUAGUCUCAGAAGGCAGAAUGGUAGCCUUAUGCAAUGCAAAAAAUGCAGAUGGAGACAGCGUUUAGUCUCGGAAGGCAGAAUGGUAUCGUUAUGCAAGAAAUAAAAUGGCAAGUGGUAAUAGAGCUUUCUUAGCUGAUAUCAGGUUGCGAUAUUGUGACUGCUGGGGACAUUGUGACACACGGAAUGUCAUUGGUGUGUAUGGAUAGCAAAUAUGGGUAAGUGCAACGGUUCUGAGAGUUGUAUUCCUGAACAAUGUUCGUCUCCUGAGUGUAUGAUAUGUUUGAUGAUUGCGCAAUCCAAGUGCCUGCAUCCAAAGAAAAAUCGUGAGUUUUGUAAAGGGUGAGGUUAGUCCCCGCUGGCUCUACUUGACCUACUCGGCUUUGAUCUGGUGAUACUGUAUGUAUCAUUGGGGUAGCGUUGCUAAACAAAGCAAUUUCAGUAGUAAACAUGCAUGAUUUCAUAAAAAU